RNAcentral lists this ribosomal RNA (396 nucleotides) under uncultured bacterium. Its description in RNAcentral is "partial 16S ribosomal RNA". It matches the Rfam family "Bacterial small subunit ribosomal RNA", at positions 523 to 918 of the family's 1533-position model. The record is from RNAcentral.
AUACGUAGGUGGCGAGCGUUAUCCGGAUUUAUUGGGCGUAAAGGGUGCGUAGGCGGUUUGAUUAGUCUAAGAUGAAAGCCCGGAGCUUAACUCCGGUUUGUUUUAGAAACUGUCAGACUCGAGUGAAGUAGAGGCAAAUGGAAUUUCUAGUGUAGCGGUUAAAUGCGUAGAUAUUAGAAGGAACACCAGUGGCGAAGGCGAUUUGCUGGUCUGUUACUGACGCGGAGGCCCGAAAGCGGGGGGAGCAAAUAGGAUUAGAUUCCCUAGUAGGCCACGCCGUAAACGAUGAAUACUAGGUGUAGGGGGUAUCGACUCCCUCUGGGCCGCAGUUAACACAAUAAGUAUUCCACCUGGGGAGUACGGCCGCAAGGUUGAAACUCAAAGAAAUUGACGGGG